GCAUAAAACGGCUCUUGUUCAUGGCGAGUUACCAGUUUAGAUGAAGUUGGUUCCACACCAGGUUACAAGUUGGAAGGUUUUAGGAAGAUUUCUUGCAAGACUUGAGUUAAGUAUAUUAUUCGAUUACAUUUAUAGUAUUAUAUUAUGGCAUAGUAUUUACUAUAACAUAUCGCUUCAUUAUACAGCAAUCUUACUACAUUACUUUAUAUAUUUUAUAUCUAAUUUUAUGCUACAAGUUUUUUGCCUUUCGUUUUGAAUGUAAAUCCCGGGACGUUCUUUUUAUUUUAUUAUUCAGUCUCGAUGAUUCUUUUUUUGACGUUACGCGCGACGUCACAUAAUAUCUCGGUUCAAAAUCGCCGCGUUCUGUUACGUCACAAUCCCACGCAGUGGUUUAAAAUUCGUUCGCCGCGCUCGUGCUAUUGUUACGUCAUUAGUUUCGUUACGUCACGGCUGAACAACACGCGACUGGUCUACCCUUUCGUUUGGCGACGUUUUUUUCAUGGGGCCCCAUGCGCGUUUUGCGUCGAAGGCACAUUACUUGUAUAUUCUAAUUAUAUUUGCCCAUGAGCGCGAAGCAAGAAGAUCAAAGAAUUGGUAAAGUAUAAAUCACAAUUGACAUUAUUACGUACAUAAGCACUUUUUUAGAAACAUCAACUAUGUGACGUCACGAAGUGGUGAUGACGCAACAGAAGAACCCACUUCAACAAGGUAUGUGACGUCACAGAGGAUCAAGCGGGCCAUGGCGCGAAUGAAGAAUAAAACAGAAGAAUCCGCGAAUACAGCUGCCGAAGAAAACGCAUUUAAAAGCCAAAGAACAAAGACGCCGAUAAGGAUACACGGUUUGAAGUUUGAGGUUUGAAGGGUAUGCUGUGUGUUGUAUGUGUGUCUUGUCUGCGUUGCUCUCCUUUAUUCUGCUGGACCUAAUGUUGCCAGCUAUUUUUAGUCAGUCACUACUAUAGUGCAUUUUGCAUGUCUUUGAAAUAUAUGCAAUAAAACUAUGGCGAACAUCUUGCUGGAUCCGAUUUUGUUGUUGUACACUCUAUUGUGUACUUCGUCUGCAAAGGUCGAAGCCUUUAGCGGUUCUGUAUUGUCCUAAUCGCUUGGUGAGAACGAUAUGUUGGUACACAAAUACUCGAGUAAUAUUAACACGCAGUAUAAUAUGCGCAUAAAGUUAAUAGAAAUCCAUUUAAUAUACUGUAACAUAAACUUUCCACUUGACAUACUUUAUAUUAAAACGUCAUGUAACGCGAUUGGGACGAUGGCCACGUCACAAUUGCGCUACGGCGUCGAUACGGUGGGCCAGAGCAUUGUCAUGACCCUGCGUCUGGUGCGGUUACGUCAGUUUUGAUUGAGUUACUUAACGGUUAGGGUGUUGCGUCGAUGUCGCCGCCAGUGAUGCUACGCUCGGUCUUGGGUCACUGUCAAUGCGGUUCGUAACAACCUGACGCAGUUUUGUAACGGUCGAUGCGGUGCGUAACACCCGGACGUUAUUAUAUUGUGUGAAGAUACGACGAGAGUAUCGCGGUACCAACAUGGCGACUCACCUUUUGAUUGGGACAUGCGGAGCUGUUGUUGGCUUCGACUCCUUGCGGUCGGACAUUUAAUAUGGUGUACACUGCAGAUGAUUAUCCUUCAGGAUUUGAACCAUAUUUUAUUUGUAGAUGUUUCAAUGAUUAUGUCCUCGUUAAUUACUUUUUGACUUUGCCCCCUUUUUGUAUGAUUGAGCUGUUGUGUUUGUUGCAUGUUUGGCACAUGUAUGUCGCUGCACUCGUUGUACUAUUUUUGUCUUUUUGUUGGUGUGUUCCUUACUAUUUUUGUCUGACGGUUAGUUUAACCUUGCUUGGGUAAGGUCUAUCCAGCAAAGGGUUUCUCACCAGAGUAGAAA
Molecule: non-coding RNA, 1885 nt
Organism: Ciona intestinalis (vase tunicate)
Lineage: Eukaryota; Metazoa; Chordata; Ascidiacea; Phlebobranchia; Cionidae
Source: RefSeq, a predicted model, not a curated record